RNAcentral lists this non-coding RNA (202 nucleotides) under Aneurinibacillus migulanus. Lineage: Bacteria; Bacillati; Bacillota; Bacilli; Caryophanales; Paenibacillaceae. The record is from RNAcentral.
UAAAUAUUGAGUUUUUAUGGUGCGAUUGACAAAUGUACUGUCAAUUGCUUAAAAGGGAAGUCGGUGUAAUUCCGACGCGGUCCCGCCACUGUAAAGGGGAGCAUGCUUCAAUUAUGCCACUGUGUUGCAAAAGCGAUAUGGGAAGGCCGGAAUGCGCGCAAUGAUCCGAAGCCAGGAGACCUGCCAUAAAAAGCACUGAUAG